RNAcentral lists this transfer RNA (77 nucleotides) under Pleomorphomonas sp. SM30. Its description in RNAcentral is "tRNA-Pro". It matches the Rfam family "tRNA". From Rfam's summary of the family: Transfer RNA (tRNA) molecules are approximately 80 nucleotides in length. Their secondary structure includes four short double-helical elements and three loops (D, anti-codon, and T loops). RNAcentral also lists the same sequence under 2 other names. Lineage: Bacteria; Pseudomonadati; Pseudomonadota; Alphaproteobacteria; Hyphomicrobiales; Pleomorphomonadaceae. The record is from RNAcentral.
CGGGGCAUAGCUCAGCCUGGUAGAGCACCUGCUUUGGGAGCAGGGGGCCGCAAGUUCGAAUCUUGCUGCCCCGACCA